RNAcentral lists this ribosomal RNA (982 nucleotides) under uncultured Zetaproteobacteria bacterium. RNAcentral's name for it is "bacterial SSU rRNA". It matches the Rfam family "Bacterial small subunit ribosomal RNA", at positions 22 to 999 of the family's 1533-position model. Lineage: Bacteria; Pseudomonadati; Pseudomonadota; Candidatius Mariprofundia. The record is from RNAcentral.
GCUCAGAACGAACGCUGGCGGCGUGCCUAACACAUGCAAGUCGAACGGUAACAGUCCUUCGGGAGCUGACGAGUGGCGCACGGGUGAGUAACGCGUGGAUAUCUGCCUAUUAGUGGGGGACAACUACGGGAAACCGUAGCUAAUACCGCAUAAUCUCUACGGAGGAGAGCAGGGGACCUUUCGGGGCCUUGCGCUGAUAGAUGAGUCCGCGUCUGAUUAGCUAGUUGGUGGGGUAAUGGCCUACCAAGGCGAUGAUCAGUAACUGGUUUGAGAGGAUGAUCAGUCACACUGGAACUGAGACACGGUCCAGACUCCUACGGGAGGCAGCAGUGGGGAAUAUUGCACAAUGGGGGAAACCCUGAUGCAGCGACGCCGCGUGCGGGAAGAAGGCCUUCGGGUUGUAAACCGCUUUCAAUUAGGAAGAAGAGAUGAGGAGUAAUAUACCUCUGAUUUGACGGUACCUUUAGAAGAAGCACCGGCUAAUUUCGUGCCAGCAGCCGCGGUAAUACGAAAGGUGCAAGCGUUGUUCGGAUUUACUGGGCGUAAGGAGAUCGUAGGUGGUUUGUUAAGUCGGAUGUGAAAUCCCGGGGCUCAACCCCGGAACUGCAUUCGAUACUGGCAGGCUAGAGUUUGGGAGGGGUACGCGGAAUUCCGUGUGUAGCAGUGAAAUGUGUAGAUAUACGGAGGAACACCUGAGGCGAAGGCGGCUUACUGGACCAAUACUGACACUGAGGAUCGAAAGCGUGGGUAGCAAACAGGAUUAGAUACCCUGGUAGUCCACGCCCUAAACGAUGUCAACUAGCCGUAGCGGGUAUCGACCCCUGCUGUGGCGAAGCUAACGCGAUAAGUUGACCGCCUGGGGAGUACGGUCGCAAGAUUACAACUCAAAGGAAUUGACGGGGGCCCGCACAAGCGGUGGAGCAUGUGGUUUAAUUCGACGCACGCGAAGAACCUUACCUGGGUUUGACAUCUACGGAAUUUC